RNAcentral lists this ribosomal RNA (781 nucleotides) under uncultured archaeon. RNAcentral's name for it is "bacterial SSU rRNA". It matches the Rfam family "Archaeal small subunit ribosomal RNA", at positions 23 to 797 of the family's 1478-position model. The record is from RNAcentral.
GCUACUGCCAUCAGAGUUCGAUUAAGCCAUGUUAGUCGAGGGUGCUUCUUCUUCGGAAGAUGUAACCCGGCGGACGGCUCAGUAACACGUGGAUAACUUGCCCUUGGGUCCGGGAUAACCCCUGAGAAAUUGGGGACAAUACCGGAUAGGGCAUCGAUAGCUGGAAUGCGCGAUGUCCAAAAGCUGAGGCGCCCAAGGAUAGGUCUGCGGCCGAUUAGGUUGUUGUUGAUGUAAUGGAUCAACAAGCCUGCAAUCGGUACGGGUUGUGAGAGCAAGAGCCCGGAGAUGGGUUCUGAGAAAAGAACCCAGGUCCUACGGGACGCAUCAGGCGCGAAAACUUUACAAUGUGCGAAAGCACGAUAAGGGAACUCUGAGUGCCUCCUAUGGAGGCUGUUCAGGUGUCUAAAAAGCACUUGAAGUAAGGGCUGGGUAAGACCGGUGCCAGCCGCCGCGGUAACACCGGCAGCCCAAGUGGUAGCCACGAUUAUUGGGUCUAAAGCGUCCGUAGCCGGCCAGGUAAGUUCUUUGGGAAAUUUAACCGCUCAACGGUUAAGCUUUCAGGGAAUACUGCUUGGCUUGGGACCGGGAGAGGUCAGAGGUACUUCAAGGGUAGGGGUGAAAUCCGUUAAUCCUUGAGGGACCACCAGUAGCGAAGGCGUCUGACCAGACCGGGUCCGACGGUGGGGGACGAAGGCUAGGGUCGCGAACCGGAUUAGAUACCCGGGUAGUCCUAGCUGUAAACGAUGCGGGCCAGGUGUUGGCAUUACCGCGAGUGAUGUCA